Molecule: ribosomal RNA, 492 nt
Filed under: uncultured bacterium
Lineage: Bacteria
Description: partial 16S ribosomal RNA
Rfam family: Bacterial small subunit ribosomal RNA
Source: RNAcentral
AGUGAACGCUGGCGGUAGGCCUAACACAUGCAAGUCGAACGGCAGCACAUUAAGAGCUUGCUCUUACGGGUGGCGAGUGGCGGACGGGUGAGGAAUACAUCGGAAUCUACUUUUUCGUGGGGGAUAACGUAGGGAAACUUGCGCUAAUACCGCAUACGACCUACGGGUGAAAGCAGGGGAUCUUCGGACCUUGCGCGAUUGAAUGAGCCGAUGUCGGAUUAGCGAGUUGGCGGGGUAAAGGCCCACCAAGGCGACGAUCCGUAGCUGGCCUGAGAGGAUGAUCAGCCACACUGGAACUGAGACACGGUCCAGACUCCUACGGGAGGAAGCAGUGGGGAAUAUUGGACAAUGGGCGCAGGCCUGAUCCAGCCAUACCGCGUGGGUGAAGAAGGCCUUGGGGUGGUAAAGCCCUUUUGUUGGGAAAGAAAAGCAGCAGGUUAAUACCCCGCUGUUCUGACGGUACCCAAAGAAUAAGCACCGGCUAACUUCGUG